GUUUUAAUAGUUUAAGAAAAUAAUGAUCUUGUAAAUCAUAGAUAGCUGAAAGCUUUAAAACU
This 62-nucleotide transfer RNA is filed under the name Cyrtorhinus lividipennis. Its description in RNAcentral is "tRNA-Thr". The record is from RNAcentral. Lineage: Eukaryota; Metazoa; Arthropoda; Insecta; Hemiptera; Miridae.